RNAcentral lists this ribosomal RNA (447 nucleotides) under uncultured bacterium. RNAcentral's name for it is "SSU rRNA". It matches the Rfam family "Bacterial small subunit ribosomal RNA", at positions 26 to 518 of the family's 1533-position model. The record is from RNAcentral.
AGAGCGAACGCUGGCGGCAGGCCUAACACAUGCAAGUCGAGCGCCCGUAGCAAUACGGGAGCGGCAGACGGGAUAGUAACACGUGGGAACGCGCCCUUCGGUUCGGAAUAACUCAGGGAAACUUGAGCUAAUACCGGAUACGCCCUUACGGGGAAAGAUUUAUUGCCGAAGGAACGGCCCGCGUCCGAUUAGCUAGUUGGUGAGGUAAUGGCUCACCAAGGCGACGAUCGGUAGCUGGUCUGAGAGGAUGACCAGCCUCACUGGGACUGAGACACGGCCCAGACUCCUACGGGAGGCAGCAGUGGGGAAUAUUGGACAAUGGGCGCAAGCCUGAUCCAGCCAUGCCGCGUGGAUGAUGAAGGCCCUAGGGUUGUAAAGUCCUUUCGACGGGAAGAUAAUGACGGUACCCGUAGAAGAAGCCCCGGCUAACUUCGUGCCAGCAGCCGC